UUCCUUUAUUGCUUUAAAUCCCUGUGGGCA
RNAcentral lists this non-coding RNA (30 nucleotides) under Rattus norvegicus (Norway rat). Lineage: Eukaryota; Metazoa; Chordata; Mammalia; Rodentia; Muridae. The record is from RNAcentral.